GAUGAACGCUGGCGGCGUGCCUAAUACAUGCAAGUCGAGCGAACGGACGAGAAGCUUGCUUCUCUGAUGUUAGCGGCGGACGGGUGAGUAACACGUGGAUAACCUACCUAUAAGACUGGGAUAACUUCGGGAAACCGGAGCUAAUACCGGAUAAUAUUUUGAACCGCAUGGUUCAAAAGUGAAAGACGGUCUUGCUGUCACUUAUAGAUGGAUCCGCGCUGCAUUAGCUAGUUGGUAGGGUAACGGCUUACCAAGGCAACGAUGCAUAGCCGACCUGAGAGGGUGAUCGGCCACACUGGAACUGAGACACGGUCCAGACUCCUACGGGAGGCAGCAGUAGGGAAUCUUCCGCAAUGGGCGAAAGCCUGACGGAGCAACGCCGCGUGAGUGAUGAAGGUCUUCGGAUCGUAAAACUCUGUUAUUAGGGAAGAACAUAUGUGUAAGUAACUGUGCACAUCUUGACGGUACCUAAUCAGAAAGCCACGGCUAACUACGUGCCAGCAGCCGCGGUAAUACGUAGGUGGCAAGCGUUAUCCGGAAUUAUUGGGCGUAAAGCGCGCGUAGGCGGUUUUUUAAGUCUGAUGUGAAAGCCCACGGCUCAACCGUGGAGGGUCAUUGGAAACUGGAAAACUUGAGUGCAGAAGAGGAAAGCGGAAUUCCAUGUGUAGCGGUGAAAUGCGCAGAGAUAUGGAGGAACACCAGUGGCGAAGGCGACUUUCUGGUCUGUAACUGACGCUGAUGUGCGAAAGCGUGGGGAUCAAACAGGAUUAGAUACCCUGGUAGUCCACGCCGUAAACGAUGAGUGCUAAGUGUUAGGGGGUUUCCGCCCCUUAGUGCUGCAGCUAACGCAUUAAGCACUCCGCCUGGGGAGUACGACCGCAAGGUUGAAACUCAAAGGAAUUGACGGGGACCCGCACAAGCGGUGGAGCAUGUGGUUUAAUUCGAAGCAACGCGAAGAACCUUACCAAAUCUUGACAUCCUUUGACAACUCUAGAGAUAGAGCCUACCCCUUCGGGGGACAAAGUGACAGGUGGUGCAUGGUUGUCGUCAGCUCGUGUCGUGAGAUGUUGGGUUAAGUCCCGCAACGAGCGCAACCCUUAAGCUUAGUUGCCAUCAUUAAGUUGGGCACUCUAAGUUGACUGCCGGUGACAAACCGGAGGAAGGUGGGGAUGACGUCAAAUCAUCAUGCCCCUUAUGAUUUGGGCUACACACGUGCUACAAUGGACAAUACAAAGGGCAGCGAAACCGCGAGGUCAAGCAAAUCCCAUAAAGUUGUUCUCAGUUCGGAUUGUAGUCUGCAACUCGACUACAUGAAGCUGGAAUCGCUAGUAAUCGUAGAUCAGCAUGCUACGGUGAAUACGUUCCCGGGUCU
RNAcentral lists this ribosomal RNA (1372 nucleotides) under uncultured bacterium. RNAcentral describes it as "bacterial SSU rRNA". It matches the Rfam family "Bacterial small subunit ribosomal RNA", at positions 28 to 1381 of the family's 1533-position model. The record is from RNAcentral.